UACGGAGGUCCCAAGCGUUGUUCGGAAUUACUGGGCGUAAAGGGAGCGCAGGCGGACAGCUUAGUCUAAAGUGGAAUCCCAGGGCUCAACCCUGGACGUGCUUUGGAUACUGGCUGUCUUGAGUUCGUGAGAGGAAAGUGGAAUUCAGGGUGUAGCGGUGAAAUGCUUAGAUAUCCUGAGGAACACCAGUGGCGAAAGCG
This 200-nucleotide ribosomal RNA is filed under the name uncultured bacterium. RNAcentral's name for it is "partial 16S ribosomal RNA". It matches the Rfam family "Bacterial small subunit ribosomal RNA", at positions 524 to 723 of the family's 1533-position model. The record is from RNAcentral.